CCGCGCCCCGCAGGAGAGAGGGGCGCCAUGCGCUCCCGCCGAAGGCGCAAACUCCCAUAAUCGCUCAGGCAGCAGUCACUGCGGAUUUCCA
RNAcentral lists this non-coding RNA (91 nucleotides) under Pseudomonas sp. Its description in RNAcentral is "Glycine sequence". It matches the Rfam family "Glycine riboswitch aptamer". Rfam says of the family: This family represents the bacterial glycine riboswitch. Glycine riboswitches usually consist of two metabolite-binding aptamers domains with similar structures in tandem. The aptamers cooperatively bind glycine to regulate the expression of downstream genes. Lineage: Bacteria; Pseudomonadati; Pseudomonadota; Gammaproteobacteria; Pseudomonadales; Pseudomonadaceae. RNAcentral also lists the same sequence under 1 other name. The record is from RNAcentral.